RNAcentral lists this ribosomal RNA (622 nucleotides) under uncultured bacterium. RNAcentral's name for it is "partial 16S ribosomal RNA". The record is from RNAcentral.
CUGACUCUGCGAUUACAUAGCAGACUCCGACUUCAUGGCCGUCGAGUUGCAGACCCCAAUCCGAACUGAGACUGGCUUUUUGAGAUUCGCUCACCCUUACAGGUUCGCAGCUCUUUGUACCAGCCAUUGUAGCAUGCGUGAAGCCCUGGACAUAAGGGGCAUGAUGACUUGACGUCAUCCCCACCUUCCUCCGAGUUGACCCCGGCGGUCUCCUAUGAGUCCCCGGCAUUAUCCGCUGGCAACAUAGGACGAGGGUUGCGCUCGUUGCGGGACUUAACCCAACAUCUCACGACACGAGCUGACGACAGCCAUGCACCACCUGUAUACCGACCAAAAAGGGGCACCUAUCUCUAGAUGUUUCCGGUAUAUGUCAAACCCAGGUAAGGUUCUUCGCGUUGCAUCGAAUUAAUCCGCAUGCUCCGCCGCUUGUGCGGGGCCCCGUCAAUUCCUUUGAGUUUUAGCCUUGCGGCCGUACUCCCCAGGCGGGGUACUUAAUGCGUUAGCUGCGGCACGGAGAACGUGGAAUGUUCCCCACACCUAGUACCCACCGUUUACGGCGUGGGACUACCAGGGUAUCUAAGCCUGUUUGCUCCCCACGCUUUCGCUUCUCAGCGUCAGGAAA